GACGAACGCUGGCGGCGUGCUUAACACAUGCAAGUCGAACGGCAAGGCCCUGCCAACGUGGGGUGCUCGCGUGGCGAACGGGUGAGUAACACGUGAGUCACCCGCCCUUGACUUUGGGAUAACGUCAGGCAACCGGGGCUACUACCGGCUAGGAGCUCCUGCUGCAUGGUGGGGGUUGGAAAGCUUCGGCGGAUGGGGAUGGACUCGCGGUUUAUCAGCUUGUUGGUGGGGGAGUGGCAUACCAAGGCAGUGGCGGAUAGCCGGCCUGGGAGGGUGACCGGCCACAAGGGGACUGAGGGACGGCCCAGACGCGUACGGGAGGCAGCAGUGGGGAAUAUGGCACAAUGGUCGGAAGCCUGAGGCAGCAACGCCGCGGGCGGGAUGACGGCCUUCGGGUUGUGAACCGCUUGCGCCUGUUACGAAGCGUGAGUGACGGUAAUGGGUAGAGAAGCACCGGCUAACUACGUG
Molecule: ribosomal RNA, 468 nt
Filed under: uncultured bacterium
Lineage: Bacteria
Description: partial 16S ribosomal RNA
Rfam family: Bacterial small subunit ribosomal RNA
Source: RNAcentral